GAGUUUGAUCAUGGCUCAGGAUAAACGCUCGCGGCGUGCAUCAAACAUGCAAGUCGAACGUCCCCGCAAGGGGGAGUGGCGUACGGCUGAGGAACACGUCGGUAACCUGUCCUACAAUGGGGAAUACCCCAGCGAAAGCUGGAAUAAUACCGCGUACGCUGCCCGGUGGCAUCACCAGGCAGGAAAGCCGCAAGGCGUUGUAGGAGGGGCCGGCGGGCGAUUAGCUUGUUGGUGGGGUAACGGCCUACCAAGGCGAUGAUCGCUAGCGGGUCUGAGAGGAUGAUCCGCCAGACUGGGACGGAGGACGGCCCAGACACCUACGGGUGGCAGCAGUUAGGAAUUUUGCGCAAUGGGGGAAACCCUGAUGCAGCGACGCCGCGUGAGCGAUGAAGCCCUUCGGGGUGUAAAGCUCUUUCGGCCCGAACGAUAAUGACGGUGCGGGAAGAAGAAGCUGCGGCUAACUACGUGCCAGCAGCCGCGGUAAUACGUAGGCAGCGAGCGUUGUUCGGAGUUACUGGGCGUAAAGGGUGCGUAGGCGGUUUUCCAAGUUUGUUGUGAAAUCUCCCGGCUU
RNAcentral lists this ribosomal RNA (571 nucleotides) under uncultured bacterium. RNAcentral's name for it is "bacterial SSU rRNA". It matches the Rfam family "Bacterial small subunit ribosomal RNA", at positions 9 to 610 of the family's 1533-position model. The record is from RNAcentral.